RNAcentral lists this ribosomal RNA (484 nucleotides) under uncultured bacterium. Its description in RNAcentral is "partial 16S ribosomal RNA". It matches the Rfam family "Bacterial small subunit ribosomal RNA", at positions 30 to 507 of the family's 1533-position model. The record is from RNAcentral.
AUUGAACGCUGGCGGCAGGCCUAACACAUGCAAGUCGAGCGGAUGAAGGGAGCUUGCUCCUGGAUUCAGCGGCGGACGGGUGAGUAAUGCCUAGGAAUCUGCCUGGUAGUGGGGGAUAACGUCCGGAAACGGGCGCUAAUACCGCAUACGUCCUGAGGGUGAAAGUGGGGGAUCUUCGGACCUCACGCUAUCAGAUGAGCCUAGGUCGGAUUAGCUAGUUGGUGGGGUAAAGGCCUACCAAGGCGACGAUCCGUAACUGGUCUGAGAGGAUGAUCAGUCACACUGGAACUGAGACACGGUCCAGACUCCUACGGGAGGCAGCAGUGGGGAAUAUUGGACAAUGGGCGAAAGCCUGAUCCAGCCAUGCCGCGUGUGUGAAGAAGGUCUUCGGAUUGUAAAGCACUUUAAGUUGGGAGGAAGGGCAGUAAGUUAAUACCUUGCUGUUUUGACGUUACCAACAGAAUAAGCACCGGCUAACUACGUG